This 290-nucleotide long non-coding RNA is filed under the name Volvox carteri. Its description in RNAcentral is "long non-coding RNA (VCAR_LNC002328)". The record is from RNAcentral. Lineage: Eukaryota; Viridiplantae; Chlorophyta; Chlorophyceae; Chlamydomonadales; Volvocaceae.
GCGGUGAGAGCGGGAAGACGGGUCUUAAACCCCAGACAUGCAUCCGGCAUUAUUUGGUAAAUCACCUGGGCCCUAUGCGCAUUGUCGGGAUCCACCGCAGAGUUAUACACGGCUUGGGUUGGUAACAUGAUUCCGCUGUUUGGUGUAGGUUCUUCGAGGACUACAAGAAGAAUGAGCACAAGGAGGUCAUUGUCGACGAUUUCCUCGGGUCAGAGGAGGCGAAGAAGGUCGUCAAGGACUCACUGGUAUGUGCGUUGCGCAUGUCCGCGCGUGUUGCUUGCCUACAUGGC